RNAcentral lists this long non-coding RNA (1539 nucleotides) under Equus asinus (donkey). RNAcentral's name for it is "lncRNA (ENSEASG00005023593.1)". Lineage: Eukaryota; Metazoa; Chordata; Mammalia; Perissodactyla; Equidae. The record is from RNAcentral.
UGUUGGAAUGAGCCUGGCACCAGGAGUCUCAAGCAGGCCGCUGUCUCCCCACCCAGUAGCAAGAGCUGCAGACACUGCACAGAUUUAUUGAACAUCUAAGAACACCAAGGACUAAGGCAUCACUCACAUAAGAAAGAAAAAGAGACACAGAGGUUACUGUCCAACUCAGUCCGGGAUUUUAAUUGAAGAGUUCACUUACAAAAUGCCAGAAGACCUUCAAGGAAGGAGAACGCUCAAGAGCCCACAGCCUGACCACUGAAGAGCGAUAGACGAGGAAGAACCAACAAUCACUGAGUGUUUACCACGUGGCAGACACUGGAUGAGUCAUGUAUUAUCUCACUGGAUCCUAACACAACCUGGGGAAGUAGUUGUUCAAUUAAGUGAUCUGGGACUCAGAGAAGUGAAGAAACCUGCCUAGGAGCCCUCAGCUGAUUUUGCUGAGCCUCCUUCUCCUCUGCCGGGAGCCUGUGGCGCUGGUCAGGCAUUUAGUCAUCAAGUUGCAGAUGCAGGACACAGAGAUGAAUGAGGAAGAACAAUGGAGCAACCCUCCUUUCUAAAACCCUCGACUCUACGCAUCGGAUGGCAGUUGAUCUCAAAGCAAAUUUCCAGCCCAUUUUUCUAUCCAGUGCCAACUUCUUUUCUUUCCAUACACAUAUAAGAGCAAUUGAAGCAAAAUUUAAAUUGUGUCAAAUUCUGCUCUAACUCUAUGCUGAAUGGGUUUGGGGAGAACCACUUGCAGCCUCUAACCAUGGUCUCUUGAACUCAGAGGGAUAGAGUAAGGGAUGCAGUCAGUGGCCCCAUAUGGGGACCCAUUACAAGAUUUCGACUCCCUUGAUUCUGUUCUGAGAAACCAGACACCUAGGCAUUAGCUGAAAAUGAUUCCUCCAGCCUUGCAGUCUUCCCCAUCGAUGGCCUGAAUCUCCCACAGCCCUGCAUCAGCACCCACGGACUCACACACUUGAGUGUCGGGUACCAGCUCUCCAUGUGGUUCAUCUUUUCAGAGCAAUCUCAGGAGAUUAGAAGCUCGAAAGACCGUGAUAGCCAGGAAGUUGAUGGUUGUUUCUGUUCCUUCCUUCAUUUUACUGUCUGUGUGGGUCAUAUAUUCUCUCGGACACCAGCAGGAAUCCUAAAAUCCUUUCAGAAUAACAUAUCUCCUCUUGUUCUUUUGGUUAACCUACUGCAAAACUGUUAGAGGUAUUUUAUCCUGAAUUUGCUGAGGUUUAAUAGGUAAGUUAUACUUGAUCCGUUUGUCCACACAUGGUUGUAAAUCGAAGUCUGUUCAGGGUUGAAAAGGAUGAUUUCUUACUGGCGUUGCUGCCAGCGAAGAUGUGCUUUCAGAAUCCAGGUGCAGGAACCCUCCAGAGUAGCGGUUCUCGACCCAGGGCAACUGUGUCACCCCCCUGUCCCCAACCCAGGGGACAUUGAGCAAUGUGUGGAGAUAUUUUUGGUCAUCGUAACUGGUGGUGUGGGGGGUGCUAUUGGCAUCUAUUGGGUGGAGGCAAAGGGCGCUGCUGAACAUCCUACAGCCAACUCUCCCAC